RNAcentral lists this ribosomal RNA (617 nucleotides) under Polynucleobacter sp. Ri2Pw_6135. RNAcentral's name for it is "bacterial SSU rRNA". It matches the Rfam family "Bacterial small subunit ribosomal RNA", at positions 395 to 1009 of the family's 1533-position model. Lineage: Bacteria; Pseudomonadati; Pseudomonadota; Betaproteobacteria; Burkholderiales; Burkholderiaceae. The record is from RNAcentral.
UGCCGCGUGUGUGAAGAAGGCCCCGGGUUGUAAAGCCUUUUGUCAGGGAAGAAACACCGGCCUAACACAGUCCGGGAAUGACGGUACCUGAAGAAUAAGCACCGGCUUACUUCGUGCCAGCAGCCGCGGUAAUACGUAGGGUGCGAGCGUUAAUCGGAAUUACUGGGCGUAAAGCGUGCGCAGGCGGUUAUACAAGACAGGCGUGAAAUCCCCGGGCUUAACCUGGGAAUGGCGCCUGUGACUGUAUAGCUUGAGUGUGUCAGAGGGGGGUAGAAUUCCACGUGUAGCAGUGAAAUGCGUAGAUAUGUGGAGGAAUACCAAUGGCGAAGGCAGCCCCCUGGGAUAACACUGACGCUCAUGCACGAAAGCGUGGGGAGCAAACAGGAUUAGAUACCCUGGUAGUCCACGCCCUAAACGAUGCUGACUAGUUGUUCGGGAUUUACAUCCUGAGUAACGUAGCUCACGCGUGAAGUCAGCCGCCUGGGGAGUACGGUCGCAAGAUUAAAACUCAAAGGAAUUGACGGGGACCCGCACAAGCGGUGGAUGAUGUGGAUUAAUUCUAUGCAACGCGAAAAACCUUACCUACCCUUGACAUGUCACUAACGAAGUAGAGAUAC